GGCUGGUCUGAAGUUAGUGAGUUAUCUCAAUUGUUCACAGUCAGUUACAGGUCAAACUUCCUUGUUCUACUCUUUCUUGCUUCUCACUACUGCACCUGGUCUUAA
Molecule: Y RNA, 105 nt
Organism: Papio anubis (olive baboon)
Lineage: Eukaryota; Metazoa; Chordata; Mammalia; Primates; Cercopithecidae
Rfam family: Y RNA
About the family: Y RNAs are components of the Ro ribonucleoprotein particle (Ro RNP), in association with Ro60 and La proteins.
Source: Ensembl